AGAGAGAGAGAGAGAGAGAGAGAGAGAGAGUUGAGGUAGAAUACUAUCGAUAGCAAACCGGCACUUUUGCCACCCAUUUAUUUUCGAUGAUUGAACCUCCAAAUCAACGAUCGGCACCGUUGAACAUGAUCUAUACUACUCGAAGUGUUUAGAAAUCAAAUUUUAAAUCUUUUCGACAUCAUUUGCCUAAUGAUCAAAGGGUUUCAAAAUUUAUAAUUGUAAUGGUCGAUAUGAGGCGUUUUCUCGUUUAACGGCGUAAAGAUAUCCAAAAUCAAUUGCAUUUUUGUUAGAAAAUUCUUUAAACUAUUUAAAACAAGAUCUAUACUCUUAAUCUUGAUUACAAGACUCCUAUCAUCAUUUUUUUAAGAAUAUUCAUUUUCAGCCGUUCAUUUUUGUGUCCACUCGAUGGAUAAGAGAGCAAUAUCGAAAAUGUAUGAAAUUUAAUUUCUAAAUACUUCAAAUGGUAUAGAUCAUAUUCAACGGUACCGAUCAUCAAUUUGAAGGCUCCAUCAUCGGAAACAAAUGGGUGGCAAAAGUGCCGAUUUGCUAUCGAUAGUAUUCUAGCUCAACUAUAUAUAUAUAUAUAUAUAUAUAUAUAUAUAUAUAUAUAUAUAUAUAUAUAUAUAUAUAUAUAUAUAUAUAAAGAGAGAGAAAGAGUUAUGUUAUUAUGUUUUAGAAAGUACCGAGAUAUCAAAUUUGACGAUUAGUUCUGUUAGACAUGAUUCAUAGUGUUAAAGUAAGUUAUUUAGAAAUCAGAUUUCAUAACUUUUUGACUUCGUUUGUGAACAAGUAGUUUCAAAAUGAGCGACAAAAAAUAAGAAUUUUAUAAAAAAUACUGAUAAAUAAUUUAAAUUUCAAAUUGAAAGUAGUGAUCUUGCUCUCAUAAAUUUCGUAAUUUAUCAAUAUAAUUUACCUUAAUAAUCGAUUGACUUUUUGGCCACAUACACUCUUACUUAAGUGUGAGGAGAUGACGUCGCACAUUGCUUUGAAAAUAUUACUUCUAUGCAUACUCGUACUCUCACACACACACACACACACACAAAACAUAUAUAUAUAUAUAUAUAUAUAUAUAUAGUCCGGCUACUAUACUUUUAUGAGUAUUGGCUCCCUUAUACUUAUAAAUUUUCGACCCUUAGAUUUAUUUUAUGAUCAUUUCCAUCCGUUAGAUCAUACAAUUCAACCAACUACCCACUCAAUACUAGGGGACCACUAUCAUUCUAAGUGGGGACCAUCAUCAUCCUAACCACACAUCCAAUCAAUCAACGGUUAAAAAUUUAUGAGUACAAAGGGUUCUAUACUCAUAAGAGUAUAGUAGCCCUAGGCUAUAUAUAUAUAUAUAUAUAUAUAUAUAACACAAGGCACAGAUACAUUAAUAUUAAACAAGUUUUUAAAGGCUAUCUAAGGUAAAUAUCAACAAUACAAGAGCAUCUUCGUAACUUUACUACGUUGGUAGGAGUAUGCAUGCAAAAUCAAUCUCUAUUAUUAUUAAUUAUUUUUCCAGCGAUGAACGCAACGCUAUUUUACUCGUAUACUAAAUUGUGAAUAUCAAGGUAAUUUGAGGUAUUAAUUUGUGUACAUAAAUGAAUGAGAAAUGCUACAAUAAGCUACUUUAUUUUCUUUUUAAUAAAUAUAUAUACAAUUGUGCAUGAAAAUUAAUUCAUUCUAUAUUAUAAUUUCAAUAUUAUUAAAAGAAAAAAGUAAUGGUGCGCAAAAAAAUGAACACAUGCUGCUGUCUCUAGUGGGCCAAGAGCAACAGGUGAUAUCCUGCUGCAGAUCAUAGAAUCUGAUAUGUAGGAUAUGCAAAAAAAGCAUUGAGAAUCUUGCCCCCUGUUCGGCGGAUUUGGGAUAAUUAACUUAGAAAAAAAAAGAAAAUCUAGCAAAUUAUUAAGAAACUGUAUGCUUUUUUUGGGAUCACAGGGUUAUCAAAGUUCUCCAUGGAUCCAAAUUUUAAGAUUGAAUUUGUUGACAAAUUUAAGAAGCCCCUAGCAAGCUUGAAUUAGGUUCUUCGCAUUCUUUCUUUUUUCCCCCCUACCAUUGACGGGCUUAGGGCUAUCAAUCAUGCUUGUUGUUCACGAGUCAGCUCGUGUUCGAAUUAAAAAUGACUUGUACUCAGCUCGUUCAUUUAACAUGUAAGCCAAUCAUGAGCUAAUUCUAACCUGCUCUUGUUUGGCUCGAUAUAACAUAUGAAUUGUAUUUUUGGAUUGAUAUACAACAAAUUUAAAUGCUGUUUUAAAGUUUUUUUUGGGUUAAUUAAUUAGCUUUACUUUUUAAUUUAAUACUAAUUAAUAAUAUUAACAAGCAUCAAUGGUAUUAAUAAUAAUGCUAAUUAUAGUUAGUAUUAAUAUGUUAUUAAAGUUUAUUUUAAGCUAAUUAGAAAUAAUUUUGAGUCGGCUCGAAUUAAUCUUAAGCACGAAAACGAGCUAGAUUAUCCCAACUUAUUGAAAUUUCGAGCUGACUCGAAUUAUAUUUUUCGAGCCGAUCUCGAACCGUUCAAGCUCGUUCGUGUUCGGCUCGCUGACAGACCUACUGAUACACCUAUAACUGCUGCCAAUGCACUGUAAAAUUCUUUAACUAACUUUAAUAUUUUAAUAUGAGACUUACAAAGGAGGGUUUCAUAUAGCUGGUCUCCUCUACCACACUUUACCUCCCUACACAAGUCAAAAAUAUGAUGGUGUUAGUUAUAAGGUGCAUUUGGUAGUGGAGAAUAAUGGGAAUGAUACAUAUCGUUUAAAGUUGCACCAAAAGUUAUUCUUUUCCAAAAUUGACCAAUGUGAGAUUCCUUAAGAAACGACACGUGGAAAACUACGCGUGACACUUGGCCCUUUCAGGGGCCGUUUAGUUAAAUGUAAAUAUAAAUGCAGUAUAGAUUAAAAUACAUUCAGUUAAAAAUACAGUAGUUAUAAUUACAUAUAUUUACUGUGCUUGGUUAUGUACGGUUAGCAAACGUAUUUAUACUAUUUUUUGUGUUUUAUAUAUGAGAUAUAUAGUGAGAUUAUCUCUUAUGUGGAAAAAAAAAAUUAUUUUUUUAUUUGAAAGAUUAUUAGGAAGGUAAGCGUAUCUUUAUUUAAUGUUACUUUCUCCAACCACUGCAGUUAGUCAAUUUGGGCAUGGUUUCAAUUACUACAAUUGAGCAUCCUCGUGUAGUUUCAACUGCAGCAAUUGAAUUCAAAUGUACAAAAUCAAACUACGAAUUUGAAUUUAUAUGCAGAUGCAAUUACAGUAUAGUUACAAUUACGUUCAACCAAACAGCGCCAAAUCAUUUUGGUAGUGCAGUUCUAUUUUCUUUCCAAAUUGUUUCAUGCAUGCUAAAGCAUACAUGCUGCACAGCCGACCAAAUAAUGUCAUUUUGCAGUGACCCGUCACCAAAGAAGCCACCAACUUUGAAAGCUCUGACUGACUGUCCCUAGAGCAAGUGGCAAAGGACUUGGUGGUUGGUACCCGAGACCCAAGUUCGAAUUUUAGUUGAUUCACAUUUCCAGCUAAGUUUAUUUCUAAAUAAAAUAAACGAAGCGGGUAGCAUGCUACCUUUCUCUCAAAUAAAAAACUUUGAAAGCUCUGGUUCCAAUUGUGUUCAACGGUCAAAUACUGAAUUCAAGGCGGGGCUCCAAAACUUGUAUAGAAAAGAGCCGCGCACAUUGAAUGCAACUUCGUGCACAAAAAAAUUCUAUAAAUGAGAAAAUAUUAUAAUUUAUUAGUGUUCGAAUGUAUCCCGUAUGAUCGGAUGAUCUAUGUACAAAAUUUUUCUAUGCACAAAAUUGUAGAGAUAUAAGAUCAUCUUUGUCUUUGCUUUUAUUUUCCUCUGUAGUUAUAACUGUUUAAAGAACUGAGAUCGAAUCCGUAAAAGAUUAAUAAAUGCACCUUAGAAUUGAACCUGCUACUAUAUUAUUUAAAAAAUUAAUUAAAAAAUAAUUUAAAAACAUUAUUUUAUAUAAUUUUAUUCAACAAAACUAUAUAUAUAUAUAUUCCAUCCCAAUAAAAAAGACAAAUAAAACAUGGUAAUUUAAUAAGAGCGGCAUACUAUUUGUAUACCUAUAGCUAAAGUAUAAUUCUUACAUCUUAAUCAUCUGAGGACUAAUAAUUUACUCUCUUGUCUUUCCAGGUUAUAUUUUAAUACAAAAUUUUCUUUUAAAAAAAGUUAAACUCUUGGAUGUAUAAAUAUAAAUUUCUUUGUCAUAUCAGCUAUUUUUUUUAGGUAAAAAAUAUAUAGAACUUAUAUAUUGGAGCAUUUAGAUCUAGCUACUCAAUAUGUCAAAAUUUGGAGUUUACUAUCGAUUCUUUCGAUUUGUUUGAUUUGAGUCAGUCAAGUAUUUUGACCUCAAAAUUUGAAUACAUUGUUAAUCUUUACAGUUUUAAUUAGUAUAUCUCAUACAAUUUUCACAACUAUAAGUUCAUUAACAUAAAUAAUUAGCUUAAAUUUUAAAAUCAAAGUAUUGUUGACUAAAUCAAAUCCAACCAAUUGAAAGGUUGGUCGCUAAAAUCAAACAUUUGAUUUGGCUACUCAACCUUUCAAAAUUUUGAUUUGAAUCGGUCGAUGCGUCGAUAGUUCGACUUCAAAUUUUAAACUAAUUUCUUAGAUGAAAAUAUAGUUAUGAGAAUAUAUUGCAUGAAGUGUACUAUCUGAACCUAUAAAGAUAAAGAUAAACAACGUGUUCAAAAUUUUUAAGUCAUUGAUUGAUUCAAAUCAAGCAAAUUGAAAAGUUAAAUAGUAAAAUCAAAAUUUUAAAAAAUUGAAUACGUAGCUAACUCCGAGUAGUCUAUAAUUCAGAUAAGUUCUGUUCCUUUGUAUUUUUUUGCCCGCGUUGAGAAUGCAAUUCAACAGCUGCAUGCAAACUUCUUGCCCAAGUUUGGUUAAAGAAACAAAGUUCGUCUCCUUUGUGGAAGAACUUCAUCUCCUUCGUGAAUCAAAAAGGAAAAGAGAAAAGGCAAAGUGAGAGAGAGAUACGAAGUUUAAUUUUGAGCCAUGCUCUAGUGUGAGAAAAUAAUGUGUAAAAUUAUUCAAACCGUCUAAUUUAUUGCAUAUAUACAAUUACUCUUCCUAGGUGUUUUUUAUGAUAUAGCUGUUCCGUUAACGUGUGAUAAUUUUAUGCUAUUUUUUAAAAAUCAAGAGGUGAUUUUUUUUUUUUUUUUCUGUUUUGAAAACCUAUACAGGAUGGAUUAAUUGUCACAUAAGAUGAUUUAAAAUACAUGGGCUGUGACACUUUUUUUUUAGAAGGGUGAUCUUAAAUUAUACACGCUGAAUUUACAUAUAUGCAUUUAAUAUAAAAUGAAAAUAGAGGCUAAUGUGGAAAAAGAGACGGGCUUUUUUAUAAAAUGAUCCUCCAGAAAUUUGAAUUUGGCAAAAUAACCCUACCAAAAUUUUAUUUGUAAAACUAAUCCUACUUUCGCAACGUGGGCGUCACGUCAGGAAUUCCUCAAAAAUACGAUGAAUCGUUCACCGCCUUUAUAAUAUUUAUUGUGAAGACAAUGAAUGGUUUACCGCCAAUCCUUACUCUAAUAUUAAUAGAUAAAAUAAAGUUAAAAAAUAUAUAUAUAUAUAAAAAAUUAUAUUUCUUUGUUUUUUUAUGAGAUCGUAGAAAAUAUAUAUAUUAUAACUGUCUCGUUACGAUAAAAAAAUCUUAAUAUUAUGUAUACAAAUAAAUAGCAUAUUAUUAAUACUCAAUGUAAUCUCCGCAUAAUUUCAAACGAGAUCUUAAUAAAAUAUUUGCCAUUAUACAGGGCACUUCAAGAUUUAGACAAAAUAAAUAAAUAAUAUCCAAAAAAUGAGGCAUGUGAUAAAAGCUUAACUCAGUCAUGUAGAUCAAAAGGAGAGAGAGAAUGUGGACCCAAACCAUGCAUGGACCCAAAAAAGAGAGAGACCUAGAGAGAGAGAGAGGAAGACCAAUAUUGACCCAAAAAGAAGAGAGAGAGAGAGAGGGGGGGUUAGAGAGAGAGAGAGAGAGAGAGAGAGCACUCCUCUAUAAAAGGUCCAAAGAUGAGAAGCAUUGAAUUAAGUCAAUCCCCUUCUAACUUAUGGGUUGUGGUGACAAUUACCUUCUCCUCCAUUUCUCCUCCCUUAUCAUAUGUUAUCACCUUCACCACUAUUCCUCUUAUAAUUCCCUCGCCUCCUCCUCUUCUCUCACUUCUCAAACCCCUUCUCACCACCAACCUAAACACAUACUAUGUUAUAACCAGUUCUAACUUAGCACAUCUUAAGCAGUAGUAGUAGUAGUAGUAGUAGUAAACAAUUUAUCUCCUCUUCAACUGAUCCGAGUUUCAUGGAUUAUUCUUGUUAUUCUUUCUCGCUUCUCCUCCUCUUCUUAUUUGGAUCAGGUACAAUUAAUUAUACACUUUACUUAUCAUUUGAGUUGGAUUUUAAUUGCGAUAUGUAUUUACGUACGUGCGUGUUGUUGCAGGGUCCGUGAGUUGCACCACGUUCACGUUCGUGAACCGGUGCGGCGACACGGUGUGGCCGGGCAUGCUAUCAAACUCUGGGAGGUCGCCGCUCGAGACCACCGGGUUCGCCCUCCCCGCCGGCGGGUCCCGCUCGCUUCUCGCCCCGACCGGCUGGUCCGGCCGCUUCUGGGGGCGGACCGGGUGCUCCUUCGACCCGGCCGGGCGCGGCUCGUGCUCGACGGGGGACUGCGGCUCCGGCCAGGUCGAGUGCAACGGCGCGGGCGCCGACCCUCCGGUGACGCUCAUCGAAUUCACGCUUGCAGGUACCGAAUAUAAAAUAUCCAAAUGCCAUUCUCUGAUAGUUUAAGUCUAGAAUGUCAAAGGAAUAUAAGAUUUGUAUUAAGACAUGUUGGGGAGAAUUUUUAUCUUUUUAGAUAAUAUGGUAUCAAGAGGUUCUGAAUUUGAUUUCGUUAUUUUUAUGAUGUGACAUAAUUUAGUGAAGUGACUAGCUAUUAAUGUGUGGAAAAUGAAAAUGUUAUUGGUAAUUUAAGUUUUUAGAGUAAACGAUUAUUCGCUGGUCAGAAGGCUCCGACGGAAAAGACUUCUACGACGUGAGCCUGGUGGACGGCUACAACCUGCCGGUGGUGGUGGAGGCGACCACCACCGCCAUCAAUACAGCCUCCACCACCGCCGACACUGACACCGUCGGGUGUGCGGCGACGGGGUGCGCAGCCGACCUGAACCAGCGGUGCCCGGCUGAGCUGAAGGUGGGGGACGGGGAGGCGUGCCGGAGCGCGUGCGAGGCGUUCGGGACGCCCGAGUACUGCUGCAGCGGCGAGUUCGGCAGCCCGGACACCUGCCGGCCGUCAGUGUACUCGCAGAUGUUCAAGUCGGCGUGCCCGCGGUCGUACAGCUACGCCUACGACGACGCCACCUCUACCUUCACCUGCGCUACAGCCGCCGCCGCCGACUACGUCAUCACCUUCUGCCCUGACUCCACAGUCAGGUGAGAAAUAAAAACAAUCCCAUGACUCAUAUUUCUUCACUAGUCUUAUCAUUUUUUUAUUUUUUUUCCGCUAGUCUUCUGAGGGGUCUUCUUUUUUUUUAAAAAAAAAAAAAAAUUUUACUCUGAAGGGAUUUGAUGGAAAGGUUCUAAAUUUGGAUCAUUUUGUACUUAAGCUAAUUUGUUUUUGUUUGGUUUUAAUAUCUUAUAAUUUUUUUUUUUUUUUACUUUUGGUCAGUAUAAGUUUGACAAAUAAAAGAUUAAUAAUUAAUGAUGUAUAAGACAUACAUGACUCAUUUCAGGAACAAAAAAGAAAAAAAAAUGUUUGUGAACUUCUUAACUAUAUUUCAAUAAUUUAUUGGUAAAUGUUAUAAAAAAAAAAUCCCAUACUUUUAUGAGUUUUGUGAGUUAUAUUGUUCCCACCAAUAGGUGAAUAUGAGAUCUACUACUACUCUUGGCAAAAUCAAUGCUCAUCCAUUAGCUAUUACUUUCCUUUUUUUUUAGAUGCAUGCUAGUUGUACAUGUCAUGAUGCAUGUUUCACUUAAUUAAUAAAUAAGAGAAGUUUAAAAUAAAUAAAUAAAUAAAGAAAGAAAAGAAAGCCUGAAUAAUUGGAAAAGAUGGUGCAUGUAUGAUUUGGCCUAGCUCUUUUUUAUUUUUUGUUUUUUUAUUUGCUAUCAUGGAAUCUGCUUCUUCUGCCUCUACUUUCAAAUUGAGUAGUAGCAAAACAAGGGGAGGAUAAGAAGAACAAAAGAAGCUUUAUUCUCUCCCCCUUUAUUUCUUUUGCUUUGUUCUUUUCCCACCAUUUAUGAUGGUGCAUUGGUGCAUGGUUCUUGAAGCUAGUGGAUAUUGGUGGUUGGGAUAAAAAGUAUCUAUCUAAAGUUGGGAAAAAAAAAAAAAAAAGAAAAGAAGCUAAAAUGUGAUUUUUCUCUUCUUUUUUUUUUUCUUAAUUUUGUGAUCUAGUAACUUAGUUGAAAGUGGAGAGGGGCAAAAUAAUUUUCGACCGUAAACUUAUUUGCGUUGUCAGAUUCGCUGUAAAUUAAUUAAGUUCGGUCCUAACUCAACCUUUUCAAAAUGUUGCAAUCGGCUUUACUUUGAUUAACAGCAGAGUCAGUUAUUGGGAGCAAAGAAAAAGGAAAAUAAAAAAAAAAAUUAAUUGUUGUAACUUUUUAUAACUCUCUUGUGUGUUACUGUGAAAAUUUUGGGCGAACCAUCUAUAGGAAGUGGGAACACAUGUUUCAAAAGCCAUUGACUUGUAAACUAAUUUUCACGUAAACUUUAGUUCAUCUGAAAGUGAAUUUCAGUUACAAAAGCAGUUAUGAACUAAAUAUAGGCCCCUAAUUAAUGAUCUAACCUUCUAAAAUGGCAUUUAUAGUUUGAUAAAUGAGAAUCAAAUAUCAAAUGACUACUUUUAAAAGUCUCCACAAAAGCUGAUGUGCUUGUAAUCACAUGUGAUGUGUGCUAAUUAGUUCAUACGUAUCCUCUAAGAUACUCCUAAUACAUUAGCGGUAUCGGAGAAACCAUAUAAGAGUAUCUGAGCAGUUCUCUUAUUAAUUUAGCAGAUUAAUUUUUUAACUAAAUAGUAUAAUUAACCAUAAAUUUUUCCCUGAAUAUUGGCAGCCAAAAAUCAACAAAAAGUAGUUCACCAUCAAAACCAUCAGAAGCAGUGUUUGAUGAUGAUUCAUGGAUCGCAAGUUUGGCCACAGGGGGAGUAAGCGCAGCUACGAGGAGAAGAACAUUCUCAAUAGUGGAAGCUUCAUUAACCAUUGCAGCUAUUAUUUGUUUCCUACUCCAUUAAUUUACUUCUUAAUUUUCUUGGGGGGAAAGUUUGUUUGUAGUUUGCAUUAGAUAACUCUGUUUAAUAUAUAAAUAUAGUAACUUAGUGCACAAAGGUGCUAUAUUUGUGGUAAAAGUUUAUGGACUUCAAUCAUUUCAGCGCAAAAUUUGAAGGUUUAAUCUCAGUCGUUCAUCCUUAUUUUAGAAAACAAAAAAAAAAAUUAAAAUGAAAUGAUCGUAUGAAUGAUGAAGAUUAGUAACUUAUGGUCUCUGGAUCGAAUCGUGCCACAAGCUAGAAUUGGUUUCGCAAAAGUCAAUGUAAAUAAAGUGUUAACGGCUGACAUUAAGUCUUCAAUCUUUAUUUUGUUAAUGCGCAUUUUUAUAUUGAGCUGGACUUAGCGCCUUCAAGUACCGCUCCCUUUGGGGUUACGAACAGAUUGCAUUACUCGUGCCCGUAAAUAAUUAUACGUCCUCAUAUCGUACUAAUUCGGUAUUUAAUACGUAGUUCCGUUGAAAAACCAAAAAAGCAUAUUUCUGUACGCUCCUUCCUCAAUACCAAAUUGGCCCCACUUGUGCACAAGGAUUGGGGAAUCCCUGCAGUCUCUUUAUUUUCAGAGUUUGAUGCUUUCACAAAACAAUCUGACAGAUGCUUUUGUUCACAUUUGCUCCGCAGAGCGCUUCCAAAUGAAGCAUCUGAAUGAUGCACCCAGAGAUACAAAGAGGAAAGGGAGCAUAUAUUCCUGAAGCCUGUAUCGAAGCGCAAUUUGAUUCAGUCUUUCACUUCAACAUAUUAGUCUCUGUCCUCGCAAAUCAGAAUUCAUGUGGAUCUUAACUUUCAGUGCAUUUUUCUACCGAAAUCGCUAACUUUUGACAGGAGUCGAGCAAUUUAAACCAAACAAAUCAGAUUAAGAUUGCCAAAAUUUCAAUACACCACAGCAAACAACCCAGCAAAAGAUAAGAGAAAUUCAACAUACAACCAGUUUAGUUCUGAGAACAACAUCUUCAUUGAUAAAGCAUGCCUAAAAACAAUUUCUCUUCGAUCUGAUGACGAAUCUCAACAACCAAAGAUUAGACAAUUAAAUAAAGAAAAGUGAAUCAAUUAUAUAUAAUGUUUUCCCCAAAAACUUUAUGUGAAUAACUUGAUUUGUAUACACCAAAAGAUUAUUCGGCAAAAUACGUCAAGGGAAUCUCCUAUUUGCUUCGCGUACAAACAUUCUCCGGCAUCUCUGCCCAGGCCUCUUUAGACCAAACGGGCGGCUAAUUAAUUGCUAGAUAUAUUUAGAUCAAAUCUUUGGGGAAUCUCUUGCUGUGUCAAAAGUUGAGAGUGCACUAAUUAAGUUGAUACAAAAGUCAUAAAGCUACUAAUAAAACAAAUAAGAAGAGUAUCAUAUUGGUAGAUAAUGUACCAAUGGAGACCCAAUAUGAAGCACUCUUUAGAUGGAGAAAGAUAAGAUGAGAUUCCGAGAAGUUCACAACUCAUGAUUAAGCAUCUAAUAAUUGUCUAAGAUGACAAGAGGUUCCGAGAGCCGGUACUAAAUUCACAACUCAUGAUUAAGCAUCUAAUAAUUGUUUAAGAUGACCUUAGGGUAUUAAAGAUUAAGAGCUAACAAAACUUAAAAGCUCAUUCUAGAACGUAAUAAACAAAUCAAGAGACAAAGUUAAUCUUAUACUGUCGCACCGCUCUGACGAUAAAAGCCAGAAAUCUCACAAAAAAUUGGAAAAUAAAAAAAAAAAGUCAGGAAAAAUUAACAAUGUGCUGCUGCUUCCUUUCACAAGUUUCAAUUGGUCUCCCUGUGAUUCGACUUGGUAAUAGUGUCGUGGAAUUCAUUGUUAGUGCUCCAAAAUAUUAACCUACUGCAGCAAGAUGUAAUCAGCAAUCACUAUCCUUAAUACAUUCAUGCUCAGUUUUCAAUAUUUUAUCAAAAAAGAAAAAUACGUUCCUCUCCUGCUAAUCUACCGAAAUAAGCUUAGAAAGGAACCUAAUUCAUGGUUCUUUAUAACAUGAUUCCGGUCAAUAUCUUAAUACAAAUGCUUUCUUUCCCAGUAAUAUAUGUUCUCACUAUAGCGCAUUAAAGCAACAAAUGGAUAACAGACCGGAAUCAAUGGUCGGACAAAGAUAGUAGUUCAUAAACAACAUGCAGGCAUGAAGUGAUAUGUUACUGAGAUGAACACAAACAAAGUACGCAUGCUCUACGAUGGUCAGCAGUGGAAUCAACAUGCAAAAUAAGCUCAGAAGUGAUAUGUUAUUGAGAAGAACACAAACAAAGAACGAUCGGCUGCUUUUAAGAGCUUGAAAUGAAAAGCUUGUUUUGAUAAGCAACAACCAGAGUUGUUCGUCCAAUUACAUGCUGUUCGAAGAGUGCUGUGCAGUCUCCUUGAAUAACCAAGAGAGUUUAGCUACUCACUCAUUCAAAACUAGAGAAAACUAAGAAAAACAAUAUUUGGUUUCUUAGGUGUUUGGUUCCUCAGUAAUGUCACUCAAAUUUCCGGAGAUAAGAUGUUAAUGUGUUUGGUUCGACAACCUCUUGAUGAUAAUCGUGGCAAUACUACAGAAAAUUUCCCAAUAAUAAGCAUGACUAUUCAUAUCCUCGCACUGAAGCUAGAAUUCAAUAACAAACACACUAUUUACCCUCAUGACUAAAAAAUUUCAAAUAUUUUACCCAAAAUCAAACAAUUACAAAUGAAAAUUGACUUGAUACAAAAGUUCAAGGAAGUGAAUCUAGAGAUCUGAAAUAUUACAUAUAACAGAUUUCAACAGCAUGAAAAUCACAUAUAAUAGAAUGAACGUUACACCUUGCCAACAAGUGAAACAAUCAAAAUUACCAUCGAAAACAAACAAGCCAAACAAAUGGAAAAAAAAAAACACAUUAAAGUUUAAAAUAAUCAAUAAUAAACUUCAUUUCAAUAUAGAAAAAUCACACAACACAACAAGUCCAUGCAAUCGGUAACGCCAUCAAGAAACAAUAAGCCAAAACAAUAUCAUGCAGUGGUAGCAAGUUGAAACUAAGCACAAUGAUAUCCAAAAUUAGCAAGUCCAAGUAAAAAUAUUUACCUACAUCCACCUAUAACCUGAAGAACAAGUAGCCGAAAAGAUCAAAGAGCUUAAACAGUACCGUUAAUCAUUAUUCUAGCAAAUACUUUCACCUACGCGCACGCAGGAUUCGACUAACAUAUAACUUCCUAAGCUCCACGGGCACUAAGUAGAACACAUUCAUUUUGCUUGUGUCGCUCGAUAGGAUUACAACAGCAUCCAUGAGAUCCUCACGCGAAAGUCCAUCAAUCUUCGAAAGCUCAUCGAACAGCCUCUGCCCUCUACUCGCUUCAUCUGCCAUGUAUUGGAAACAGCUAGCUAACUUGGAGAUGCUUUCGGUAAACUUUGCAAAACUCCCUACAAUUGAGCGCAAAGUUGAGAUCAUGGUCCUGUCGACAUCAACAGAUUUCCGCUUCGUUCCUCUACGUGUACCAGACCCUCUACCUUGAGAUCGCGGGUUUGAGCAGGCUGCCGUGUUAGGCUUCGUCCCCGAGCAUGCAGAACUCUGCUCUGCACUCGCGCCAUCACUUUCAUCCGCGCCAAGGACAUCCUCCAUCUCAACCUGCAGACCGGAAGCACGCGCAGCCAAUUCUUCUUGCGCUGUGGCUACCACAGCAUUUGCCAAGGGUUCUACUGCAGCUUCAGUUGCAUGGUCCUUGCCGAAAACUACAGAUAACUCCACGUAGGGGAAGGAUUUCCCUCUUAAUCCCGCAGCACUAGGAUGACUCUGCAUAUGUUCGUGUAAUCAAACAACUUAGAGUUAACAUUUAUGUAGUUACAAUAAUAUAGUAGAGAAAUGUAAUACUAGCAUACCACGACCCAAUCGUCAUAAACGCUCCUCUCGCAUGUAAUCGUCUUAUCCUUGCCGUCCCAACCAAAGCCAUUCACGGCUGCUCCAAGCAUUUCUGCUAUAGCGUUAUACUGCCUUUUCCAAAGUUUUAUUCGCGAGGUAAUGUGGGGUCGCGCUGUAAGCCCGCAACCCGGCAAUUUCUCGCUCAUCAAUUUCUCCAACUGUUGCAAGAACCCACAUCGAAAGUUGCCGUUAUCGGCCCUCCAGUGACCUGAAUUUGUGAGACCCAAUAAGCACUCGAUAAGCUUAUCGUCUUCCUCCUUAGUCCACUGAUGUUUGAUGCCUCUAUUCCUUGGCUUUCCUUGCGGAUUUCUUCGAGCCGCCAUCCUAUCAAUGAAAAUGGCAUAAAGUAGACAUCCGAAAAAAAAUUCUGAGACAUGAACUGAAUUCUAAUUCUUUAAAACCAAAUAUUCGGCGACAUAAUCCCCGCAAUUGGAAACAACUGAUCAACGCACAGCGGUUGAUCUCAAAAUCGAACGGGUAUUCCUGCAACAUCAAACGUCAAGUAGCCACCGCGUAUUCGGAGAAUGUAUGACGGCGAUCUUACCGACUUAUGCAACAUUGAUCGAAUUACCAAACAAACAUGUUAACAUGUAAAACAACAACAACCUGUAGUUCACAUGUUUAAGCAGCUGACGAAGGAGUGGGACCUGCUUAAUCCAGCAAGGCGAACCUCGGUUUAAGCAGAUCACAUGUUUUUUUUUUCUUUUUUCUUUUUUUUUUCUUUUUUUUUUUUUUAUCUCGCCCCCCGGCCCCCCAAGGCCUUUACUGCCUCACCUCUGUAGCCUAGUUCAUAUUCCCAAUGAAUGAAGCGGGUAGCGUGCUACCUCUUUCUCAAAAAAAAAACAACAACCUGUAGCAGGAUUCGAACCGACGAGUUCUCGUGCGAGCACGCCAGUAAUGACUGCAAAAAUUACGGGCUAGGUUUAUAGCAAAACCCAACAUAUUCUAAAUUAGAACAAUGCAUAAUCUACAUAGUUAUGGACAUAACAAAAGGAGAAUUACUAUGCAUCUAUAUAUUAGGAUUUGAAGCACCAUCACAAACAUAUAUGCAUCUUUUAGUUCGCAACUUGGAUCGAACAUAGAUCUUGCAUCAAACGGAUACCUGCGACAGGAGAAAGCGCUUUCGCCUACCGAGCUCGCUCUCGGGUUCGCCUUUGUACUGUGCCCUAGCUCCCGCCCAAAUACGAAAUAGAAUUAAUGAAUUACGCAAAAAUGUGCGGAUGGUCCCUGUACUAUUCCGGAAUUGUUAUUUCGUUCCUGAACUUUCGCAACGGGCCGUGUGGCUUAGUGUGAUAUAUAUUCGUGAGGGAAUGGGUAUCGGCCCAAUAUCGGCCCAUUAUUAGCCCAAAAUUGCUUUCCUUUGUUACUCAUUUUUUGCUUCUAUAUUUUAAAUAUUGCUCCUAUAUAUUAUUUUGAGCCUCUUCGGUAUAGCGUAGCGUGUCUCUCUAAAUUCGCCGUAACUUUUCUUUCAUUUUUAGGAGUGGGCUCCAUCCCAAAACAGCGCAAGUCCACAUACUUUUUUUUUAUUUCGCUCGAACCGAAUCGAAUUUUUCUUUCUUUGCUUAAAUCGAACCAAUCAUUUAAAUGCGGGCUCCCCCGACCCAGCUCAAGUCCUCCAUAUAUAUAUAUAUAUAUUUUUGCUUGAACCAAAUUGGGUUUUCCUCUUUUUUUUUCCUUGAAAAGAAUCAAGUCACACCUCUGCAUUGCAUUGGACCAAACUGUUCUUCUUCCAUUCCCUAUUUUUUUCUCUUAUUAUCUAACCGUCGAAUCACAUGGAUUACUAUAGUAGUAUAUCAUAUAAGCUGUAGAAUGAGAAGGUUGUUGCAUAUUAGAGUAAGGCUCUAUUUGGGAUUAUAAAAAAUUACGUUACGGAUAGUUAGAAAGUGCGAUAAAAAAUAAUAUUUAUUUUUGUAGCGUAAUAUUACUUUCUGCAUAACAAAUGAAUUGAUUAAUAUAUACUUUCUGUAAUCCCAUUGAAGAAAGAAGUAUGUUCUUAUAUAUUUUUAUUCUAAUUCUGUUUUUCCUACUAAGCACACUAAUACAUACCUAUAUAUUUAAGUUUCGAGCAUGUUAAAUUAUACAAAACAGACGGUGUUCUUCAAAAUAUUAAACUAUCAGAAAAUAAUAUUAUUAAUAUUUAUAUUUAACAGAGUAGUACUAUAGAAUUAUCAUUGAUCUGUGACUCAGUAAAUAUCAUUGAUGAGUUAAUAGUUUCACAUAAUUUUGACUGAUUAGUGCUUUACCUUUAAACUUAUGAUCUUAUUAAGGUGCCACAAGAAAAUGCUCAAUCAUCAGCAACAGUUCGAAAUUUUCAAGCAUAAAAUUAUUCCAUAUAUGGCUAUUGAUAGCUUCAGCAAUUGUUUUAUAUAAAACACAUGGCAUCAGUAGCAUCGUACAAGAUAUUCUACAAAGAGAUAAAAGAGCUUUUUUCUAAAUAGUUAUUUUUAUUUUAUGUAGAAAAAGCAUAAUUCACAAAAAUAUUUUCAUAUUCCUUGCUCAAAUUAUGCAUACCCACUGUCACAUCAUGGCAAAAUAAAAUUAGUUUGCUUUAUACAUUUUGUGUGAAUAUGCUAAAAUGGAUGUGGUAACAUCAAUUACAAGAACUCAAACUUGUACAUAUCUUCUAUGCGACCCCACCUUGCUGAUCCACCCAUCCGAGGAAGAGAUUGAAAAAAAAAGAAAAAGAAAAAAAAAAGUGUAAACUUAUUUUGGCUCUCAUAACCAAACUUAUUUCACAAUCCAAUCCCACUUCACCUCUAAACUAAUUUAUUACUAGCAUUCGAAAAGGUUGAAAAAUUAAGGGGCAAUUGUUUGUAUACUCUUGAAAAGUUUUCAACUUUCUAAUUUAAUUUUCUUAGAAGGUUAAUAUUGAAAAAAAAAAAUUUACGUUCAAACCUAUUUCAAAUAUGCCUCUAGAGUUAAAUUUUAUUAAUAAAUUAUUAAUAAUAGCUGUUAUCUAUAUAAAAUUACUAUUUUGUCCAUUCAAAUAUACCCUUUUAUCAUCACUGACUUUUCUUAUUUGCCAUUUAGUUAGGGGCAUAAAAGGUAUUUUGAUUUUUGCUCUUUUCAAAUAUAUCCUUCUACUAUUACUAAUAUUUCUUAUUUGCUCUUAAGUUAAGGGCAAAAGAGGUAUUUUAAUUUUUUAACUCUAAUAGAUAUUUAACUCACGUUUAACUCAAAUUAACUUAACGAGUAGCAACUGCUGAUGUUUUUUAUUUGCAUUCACGCCUUUUGGAAAGAGCCGCUAACUUCGAUCCAAGCAGUUUAUGUACCUGCGGAUAACGGAGGGUAUAUAUGAGAAGUAUAUUGGAAAGGAAAAAAAAAAAAAAGAAAGAUAUUUUCAAAAUUUUGAGAGAUAUACAGGUAAUUAUUCUAAAAUUAAAAAAAUGUAGAUAUGCACGUGAGGGAUUAGAAUCUUGACCUAUAUAAAAACCUCUCGAAAUAAGAAUUAGUGUACUAGGAAAUGGUUAUGAACCAAACAUUGCUUUGAUGUAGACCCAUUCAUCAAAUGUUUCUAAUUUUAUAAGUUAGGUAAUUGGACAACUCAAUCCAAAAAUAGAAGUGUGAGAAAAGCACAUCAGUAACUUAAAUUCCUUUUGUUAUGUGGUCCCAUCAAUUAUUCAUUUGUUGGGUUCUUUAUAGUUGCAUGGUAGUAGUGAUUCCUUGCACUAUAACUUGGGAAAUUCCUUCCCCCAUCACUUCCCUCUUCUGGAGAAUAUGAUUAUUCUUAAGAAAACACCAAAUACAUAUAAAAUAGCACUUUUGGUACACCAAAUAACUAAUUCUAUUUAAGCCCCUAUAUUUUAAGUAAAUUAUUUUGAGCUCUUGGUUUCUCAAGAUCUCAUUAUAAAUGUGGCAAAAAUUAAGGGGUAGUAUGUAAACUGUUUAAUUUUUAUUUAAUUAAAUUAAGCCUCUAUAUUUAAUUUUUUUUUAUUUGAGCAUAUGAUUUCUCGACCUAACACUCAAGACGCGGAAUGCUUCAACACAAACAUUCUAUAUUGUGCAUGGGAUGAAAGUGACGACAUUGAAUAUGAUGAGAUUAAGCCUAACACAAUGAAUAAGUAUAAAAAACAAAAGACUUGAGAAAAAGCAAAUUAUCCUAAAAAUUAAAAAUGUGAUAAUAAAAAUAAAUUCAGAAUUUAAAAUCUUAAAAAAAUCAGAUAAGAGUUAGCAACUAACUGUAUAAUUAUCCGUUUUUUGAAAAUGUGACGUGGAAGAAUGUUAGCUAUUUUGACAUUUUUGUCCCUAUCCAUCUCGUACCUUACGUGGAACAGAAACACCACCUUUUCCCUCUCCCUCAACUCCUCGAUUCCUCUCUCUCUCUCUCUGUUUUAUAUCGCUAAUCCGUGGACUCGAAGCGAAGGCACAUCGUGAGAAGCACGAGAAAUAAAAAGAGAGGGGGGAGAAGAGAGAGAGGAGAUGGACUUGUACCAGGAGUUUCUCCUCACCGCGCUCGUCUCGCUCCUCCUCGCCUUCCUCCUCGGCAAGCUCGCCGGCGCCGGCGAACCCGAGAAGGUCCCCGCCGUCGCCGCCGACGGAGGGCUCGACCGGGUCGAGGAGAGCUCUCCUUCCCUCGACGAGGCAGGCGACGAAGCUACCGAACUCAGAUUGGGGGGAACCCUUGCGAAGGCGAUGGAUUCGGUGGUGGAGAUCGAGAGGAUCGGCGCGGAUCCCGCCGCGGAUGAGAUCAAAGAGGUGGUGGCGGAGGAGGAGGAGGAGGAGGAGGAGGUUCGGGAGGAGAAGGGGCGGUCUCUGCUCCACGGGGAGGACGAGUGGGAGGGGAUCGAGAGGAGCGAGCUCGAGUUGCUCUUCGAUUUCGCCGUCAAGUAUGCGAGUAGCGAGAGCGGUGCGGAGGCGGUGGCGAAGCUCGGCAAUGGCGCUCGGAUGCGGUUGUACGGGCUUUGCAAGGUCGCGACGGAGGGGCCGUGCUACGAGCCGCAGCCCAUGGCGUUGAAGGUCGCCUCCCGUGCCAAAUGGUUGUGCUUCUCCCUAUCCUUUAACAAAUUCCUCAUUAUGUUUACAAGGUUCAUUGUUUUGCUCUGAUUUGAUUUGAAUCUUCUGUUCAUGCUUGAUUCAUUUUUGUCUCUGAGCUUGUUUGGUGUUUAAUUGAGGUUUUGAUUUAAAAUUUUAAGCAUUGUUUGCCAUUUGGAUCAUCUCCAAUAGAAACAGCUGAACACAAAAAUCAGAAAGCGUUUCUGAAGAAUGAACAGUUAUUAGAGAUGUACAUGAUGAGGCAUCUAGAAAAGGAAAGCACAAAAAAUAAUAUAGUGAAUUUCAAUUUGACCCGUACGUGUAGGGAUGUCGAUGGAUAUAGAUACCCGAAAUUUUAUCCAAACCCGAACCCGAACGGGGUGGAUUUACCCGAUGCUAAAUGGAUAUAGUUUUGGAUAUGGAUAUAAAAAACAAAAAUCCGACGGAUUUAGAUUCGGCUAUGGAUUUUGAUUGUAUCCGACCCGAACCCGAACUCGAAGUUAUUUUACAUUAUUUAUAAUAUAUAUGUUUGAUAUUGUACUUAAAUUUGUAUUUUGAAAUUUUGAUUUAAUGUAAUAUAUUUUGAAAUAUUGUAAAGAGAAAUAAUUGUUUCUGAGUUCCGAUUUUCAUGUUUGGACUCGGGGUCGGAUUUUAGAUUUUUGGUCGAGUUCGAGUUUGGAUAUGGAUUUUUUUAAUUCGUCGGAUUCGGGUUCGGUUUCAGGUUUCGGGUUUGGUAGUUGGGUUCGGGUUCGGGUUUUUGAAAUCCGCCCCGAAUCCGACCCGUUGACAUCCCUACCUUGUGAUUUAGCGCAUUUUACUUGUCAUACUUGGUUUGAAAAUUUGCACUAGCUACUUUGUAAUUUUUUUUUUAUUUCACCAAAAAACCCUUGCCAUCAAAUUGGAUAGUAAAUUGAAAUUUCUUGAAAUCCACCGGUAUCAUUUUUUCCAAUAGAUCCUUACAGUGAAAUAAAAAUAAAACAAAAAAAUAGUUAAAUGUAACUUUUGAACCAUCAGGGUAUCAAAAUGAAACCGUGCUAGAUCAUAGAAUAGUUAAGUAUAACUUUUUGAAUUACAGAAUGAUAAAGUAAAAAUAUGUCAAAACCAUAGUGGGAUAAAUCAAAGUUCACCCAAAAAGAAAAAAGAGUAUUAGGGGACAUCUAGGAUGGAUAAUGUCAAUAAGAUGAAUCUAGGAAAAACAAAAAAAUGUAGCUAUAGUUUGACGAUAAUCGUUCAUGAUGCUUUGUAACUCAUAUUUCUUGCUGCUUUCGAUAUGAGACUUCCCUAUUUUUGCUUUCCCGGCAUGAGCGAAGACUAUCCGUGAUCCAUGUUCUAUCAAGUGCUAAAGGCUUCACGCAUCUACUACAAGGUGCCAUGCUGUGUAAAUUUGAAAAAAAAUGCAAAACAGGACGGAGCAAUGAUUCUGUGUAGAUCUAUACUGUUAUCAGAUAAGCAGAGUAUGUACUGUUGUUGACGACUUAACCGAAGGCUCUCUUUGGUCUCUAGGAAUGCUUGGCAGAGACUGGGUAACAUGAAUCCAGAGACGGCUAUGGAGCAAUAUGUCACUCUUCUUUCUGAAAGCAUUCCUGGAUGGACGGGUGAAAAAAUCAGAGUAGGUUUAUUCAAAUUCUUGUUCAUAGCUUUGAGAUGGAAAAAUGUUUAACUUUCUAGCAACACUUGUUAGGAGGAUGCCACAAACUCUGAUGGCAAUGAUUCUUUGUUUACGGUGGUCUCUGCAACAGAGACACCUGUUACAAGUUCAACUAUCCACCACCAUCCAGAGCCUGCUGUUGAAAGGUAACUAACAACGGAACAAAUGUUUAAACGAACUUAAUGGCCAGUUGACUAGCGAAAUGCCUUACAGAUUACUAGAAGAUUCUUCUUCCAUUGGAAUUGAUAAUGCAGGCAUUGGUCAGAAAUUUUCCGACCAAGGUAUGGUGACUUCUUUUUUUUUUUUUUUUAUCUGUUUUGGUUUUAUAUACCAUAUUUCAUAUUUCAUAUUUCAUAUUGCAUGUAUGUAUUUCCUAUUGUAUGUACCUGAUAUGAUGUUUUAGUACAUUUCAUUUGCAAAUGCCAGAUUAGGUUAAACACAUUGCGUUAUCUGGGAGUUAUUCUCUACAUUGUGACAACACUUAUGGUGUAUAACAAAUUUUUAUAACAAAUUCUUAUUUACCCCUAUGCAUUAAAAAUUGCGCUAAUUAUCUCCCUACAUUUUGCCUUUGUAGAUUUGGGAUAAAUGGUGACUUAUGUUGAAAAACUUCACUAAAGAGAGUUUGUUUAUCAUAUUAUUCUACAUCUCAAAAAAUUAUAAAAUAUUAAAUAAAAUAGAUAUUUUAUUUUGCUAAUAUUAUCAAAAUCAAUAGUUUAUCUAAUAAUUUUAUUAAAUUUAUAUGAUUCUACUGCAUUAAUUAAAGCUAUGUCUGUUUCGACAAAGUUUUACAGUUGAAUUCAAUAAUUAUCUUAAUUUUUUUGAAUCUAUUUAAAGGAAUGGUAAAGUGCAGACCGGCACCGGCACGACCACCGGCCAGCACGACCACAGUACGGAUGCUAUAGUACCCGUGCCGGUUAGGCCCGAUCCGGCCCGUUACACUUGGCUGUGCUGGACCGCUGCUCUUGGGCCCGUCGGCCCAGCAUGGCCCCGCCGGAAACAGGCCUAGGUUGUGCUGUGCUGGGCCAAGGGAGCGUCCUGCGGCCCAGCACGACAUGGCCCACUUGGGUCUUGCCAACUGGGCCGUCAGGGGCCUGGGCCCUAAGGCUUGCAUUGGGCCUCGGGGUGUAAUCUCCUUGUGAGAAGGGCUUGGCUCCAAGCCCUUUUCCCAAGGAGCUCUCUUUGAGUAGUUUUGGUCCAAUGGACCAAACCUCUUUUGGUCCAUCGGACCAAAACCCUCCCAAUUCACCUUCUUUAAAAAACAAAAAUAAAAAUUUAUAAUUUUUUUUAAAAAUUAAAUAUUUGUUAUUUUAUAAUUAUUUUUAUAAAUUGUAAAUUCUUUUGAUCAAAAUAUCAAUUUAAAUAUGAAUAAUUUAAAUUUUCAUAUUUCUAAAUUUUAUAUAUUUUUAAAAAAAUAAAAAAUUAAAGUGGCCGGGGUGGGCCAGGCUAGCCGCUAGCCCAUUUUGGCCUCGAGUAAUUGACAUAAUUUUUAAUACAGGGAGGUGAUUGAGACAAAGGGCUAAAGUGCAACGGGUUUGUUUAAAAUUUAUUCAAGUGUUAACCACUUCAAGUCUUUAGAAUAUUCUUUGUUUCCAACUUAUAUCUUCCAGAGGGCUGGUUUUGUGCAUGCCAACAUGUGUGUGCGCAUUUUCCUUCUUGCUCUUUUUUCUUUUUUUAAAUUCUCAGCUUCAAAGUCAUUACAUGUCAGACAUAUUAUUAUUCAGCAUAGAAUUUCUUCACCUGAAUGUUGUCUGGAGUUAUAGAUGAUACAUUAUAUACAUUUGCAUAGGGCUGUACUUGGUUCAAUUUGGUUUAGUUUACGGGAAAUGUUUAAACCUAACCAAAAUUUUCAGUGUGGAGAAAUGCAGAACCUAAUCAAAUCCUAAAUGCUACUUCGUCUGGCGCAGGAGGAAUUGCAUAAUUAAUUGAAAGCAUGUUUUCUUUUCGAGUAAACAAUUAACCGAAAAUAUCACAUGCUCGCCUAUGCUUCUAUGUUAUUGAGAAAAAACUGAAACAAAAUUUUGAUUUGGAAAUCUGCUUCAAAUACUGUGCUAUGCAACCAUUGAUUUUACACCCCUGAUGUUUGAUGUGUGUCUCAUGACUUCCAUAUACGUCAAUUGUAACCACUUCUUUACGUAAGCAGAUGGUCUUUUUCUUCCUUUGCUUUUAACUGUACAAAAUUUCAUACUUCAUCUCAUUUUUUCCUUCUUUUAACUCAAAUAUGCUAUGCAUCAUCCACUUCCUUUUGUUUCUUUUGCUUUAUGGGCCUACAUUUUGUUGCAGGACACUCAAAAAUUUCCUGUUUAACCUGCACUCUCCGACAAGAGCUACAUUCUUAACUUUUCGUCCGUAAGAUGGACUUGUCCUGCUUCUGAGGAUUCGGAUAAACUGUGCUGCAGCUUUCCUUAGAAGAAGCACUUCCUAAUUAUAUCAUUGCAAUGCUUGUUCGGCAUGUAAAUUAUAUAGCAUUUUAGAUGCAUGUACAUAAAAUGUUCCCCCGUGCGUAUUGCAUUCUUCAUUUUACUGUGUCCAGCUUCUCUCAUUAGAGAAAUUAUCUCAGAUGAUUUCUACGAGUUCUGUGAAAUAAAAAAGAAGAAAUGCUUCUUAACUUACAAUGCAAGUGAUUUUUCCUGCUUCAAUGCUAUUUCUCUCUGCAAUGUAAGAAGCUUGGCCUUGUGCAUUAUUAUUUAUUCCAUCAAUAGUGUCUUAUCAAGUAACACGAAAAAAUCCUUCAAGAAUCAACACAUGCAGGUGAAGAAAGUAUAUGUAGUUACAGAAGCCGUAAACCAAGAUUAGCUCUUAACCGUCUGAUCUCCCGCCGCCGCCGCCGCCGCCGCCGCCGCCGACCUCUUUGAAUUCUUGUUCAUGUGGAUUCUCAGAUACACCUUCUUUGUCCGGACCGUCAAGAGCACGUCCAAUCCGAACCCGACGAGGCACGCGAACGCCAUGACGAAGAACACCAGGCGGUAGCAGUGGGCGCCGACGCAUGUGUUGCCGCCGCCGGCCGUCUUGGUGGCCUCUGCGUCAUAGAGGAGGCCCGCGAGGAGGCCGGAGAAGAGGAAGGAGCCGAGGGGGAGGUUGAGGAUGAGGAUGUUGUAGAUGAGGCCGUAGUACUUGAGGCCGAAGAGCUCGGAUGCAGCUGGGACCGUGAUGGCGAGGCGGAAGCCGUAGCAUACUCCGACGAUGACCGAGCCGAUGUAUAGAGAGCCCGGCAGGGCCAGGGCCAUCACGACGUACCCGACGGCCAUCAGGAUCUGCGAGGCUGCGUUCCAUAACGGCCGCGGAAUUGCGUUCUUCCUGAGAAGAGGUGGAAAAGGUGAGAGAGGUUAGGAGGAAAAAAUUCUUGACCAACUACAAUGCAAUCAAGAGAUAAGCUGCAGUUUUUCUUAAAACCUUCUCAAAAGACAAAAAAAAAAAAAAAAAAGGAAUCAUAAAAUUGAAACUAGUAUUCUCAAUAUUUGUAGAAAUAAGGAAUACGCACUUGAGGAAGUACUCGGAGAGGGUUCCCGAGCCGAUGCGGCCGAAGAAGCCCCAGAUGCUUAUCAAAGAUAUGAAGACGGAGACGUCGGCGUAGCCCAUCGCCGCGCCGAUCUGGCCCAUAUUGUUCAUCACCGUCAGCCCCGUCCCGACGCCGCAUAGGAACGAGAUGAACAGCACCCAGAAAUCCGUCGUACUCAGCGCCUCCGCUAUCGUGUGCUCAUCGCCAAUCCUUGGCCCCCUCCUCUUCCCCUCUGCCUCUGCCUCUGCCGCCGCCGCCGCCGCCGCCGCUGCCGCCGCCACCGCCAAUACUACCGCCUCGUCUCCCGCUACAGCCACCACCUCCUCCUUCUCCUUCUCCACCUCCUCCUCCUCCUCCUCUGCAUGCAGGAGUGGCUCCGAACGUUCUUCCAAAUCCAACUUACUCUGCUGAAUAUAAAAUAUUAAUUCAAGUACACGUCUUAGAUUUUAUUAAACAGUGUCAGAAUAUGAAAUAGUUAAGUAACGGCAUAACUCCUCAGCAUUAUGAAACAAGAGAUUUUCAAAUUAUGCCCUUUCAUGCUUUUAUUAGAUAUUAGAAUCUUUUAAAAAGUUAUUUUGAAAUAUAAACAUUGAGAAAAGAUGUUAAAUAUAACCGUUAGCUUAAGUUUUUAGAGAAAUUGGUACGCACAUUCCGUGCAAUUCUCGCCUUAACCGCCACGUAGACGGGCACCGCCGCCGGCGCCGCCAGGAGCAGGAAAAGCACGGCCACGAAUGCGGAGAUGGCGGCAACACCGGCCCCUCUCACCACCCCAGGGGCGAGGUCGAAGGCGAGGAGGUACACCGCGAUCACCACCGCGAUGGUGUUGAUCGCUGCGAAGCACCGCCCUUCCUCCUCCUCCUCCUCAUCGCGACCGCUGUCGCCAUCGGCGGGGGGAAAAUCGCGUAGGAAGAGCAUGGCAGCGGCGCAGAUGGCGGCAGGGGCAAUGGCGAGGAGCAAGAGGAAGGCGGCGGGGUUGUCGGGAAAGAGGGCAGCGGAGAUGUCGGUGAAGAUGGCAGUGCUGAGCCCGACGUAGCCCUUGAGGAUGCCCGACACCGGGCCGCGGUUGCGCCGGAAGUUGCGUAUGCACGUGACCAGCACCGCCGUGUUCAUCCACGUCGAGCUGUUCCCCCCCAUGCACAAGAACACGCACAUCUGCAUAGAGUUCGGAUAAAAAUUACUUUCUUUUCGCUAUAACUUUUUGUAUAAUUGUGAGGCUGAAGUUCCUAAGAUUUUACUCUUAUUCGGUAAAAAAAUAAACAACGUAAAAUUGAAAGCGUAAAAGAUGAGUUAAUAUUUAGCAUGUUCGAGGAAAUGCCUCAAAGAAAGAAACAGAGAAUGGAGACAAGUGAAGCGAAGCAUCUUCUCAGGUGUAGCUAGAUUGCACUUUUUCUGUUAUCUAAUUUAUGAUUAGCAUUUUCUCCUUUCUAUGAUUGCUAUUUUGUUCUUGCUGCAUGCAAUGAUGAGUUUUUCAUAGCAAGUAGUAAAAUAAUAUAUUUUAUAAACUGCAUAAUACUAAAAUAAUAAUAAGUUCAACUCAAAUUAAACAGUAAUAAUAUAAAGGGAAAUUGUCGUAAUUUUUUAAAAAAAUUAAACCGUUAUACCAUAAAAUUCAAAUUUAAAAUACCAUCGAGCAAUAUAGCACAAGAGUAUGUAAUUCAACGAGAGGCUAUGCUUAAUUUGAAAAUAAAUCGGAGACAAUAAAAUUUAUUCGUGCUAUUCUGCACGGUCUUUAAAAAUGGUCCCGACAAUUUUUUCAGUCAAAUCGGAUUAUUCUAAAUAAUCCUUCAAUAAUCAAAAAUAAUUAUUUUUAUUUUUUUUAGUGGAGUAACUAUUCUCAUGCUUAUAUCUGGCUAAUUUAAAAUACAAAUAAAUAAUAAUAAUUUUUAAGUUUAUAAUAAUAAUAAUGAUAAUAAUAACUGUUGUUAUUAUUAGUAGCAAUUGUACCACAACUAUUAUUAUUAUAAAUAAAAUAGGAUGUAUUAUAACCUAUAAUAAUAUGUUAAAAUAAUUAUUUUGUAUUAUUUAUAGGUAGGAGCAAUGUCAAAAGGACCCCUCAAAAGUUAUAAAAUAUUGUGGGUACCACAUCAAAAUUGUGAAUAUCACUAUCACUUUUGCCCCUGUAAAGUAAUAAAUUAUAUUAGAAAUACAUUUCAUCACAUCGACUAAAAAUUUUGGACUAAUUUACCCUUAGCUACACCUAAUUAUAAAUAAUUGUUUAGCAUCAUGUAGGGCUAUAUAAUAAAUUUAUUUUUUAACAGAAAAUAACUUGGUUUUCUUUUAUGAUUCAAUUUAUGAACAUGUUUUUUGCACACUUAAACUAAUUUAUUUUUUUAUCAACAUCAUAUAGGUCUUAUGUUAAUCAUAAUAAACAAUUAACUAUAACUAAAAAUAUUUCUACUUUUUAGUGAAUCUAAUUUCUUCUUUUGUAUAAAUUAAUAUGAUUUUUUAAUUCACUAUUUGUAUAGUAUAAUUUGCUGCAAUUAAUUACUUUUAAUAUGGUAUACAUUCAAUUGUACUUACAAUAUUUUCAAACAAAAUAAUAUUUAACUUAAUUAAAAAGGUAUUUACAAUAGAUGAUGGGCAAAAUAAAAUUUUAUUUAGUUUUUUAUGAAUUAUUGUUGAUCUAGAUAUUUACGAUAGUUUUUCUCAAUUAGAAGGGUAUUUUCUAUAUUGACACUUUUAUAAGGGAAUCUAUAUAAUUCAAGAUUGGAAGAAGAGUAUAUAUAAAAUUUGCUCUAUUUAUAUAUAUUUUGUUUAUUAUUUUAUAAUAUCUUUGAGAAAACUACCAAAUAAAUUUUUAAUUAUUCUUAAAUAAAAUAAAUCUUUAAUCAAAAAUAAUUUUAAAACUUAUUUUUCUAUAUUUCAGAAUAGUGAUAAUAUCUAAUAUGUCCUUUAAAAUUUUCAAAAAUAUCUUAUUUAUUUUCGGAGGACCAAAAUACCGGUAUUGAUUUUAAAAAAUUCUUUUCAAAUAUCUCUAUUUCUUUUAGAAUUUAAUGAUAAAAUUGAAUUCUACAAAGAUAUUUUGAUAAUUUCAGUUUAAAUUUAAAAAUUUUGAAUAGUUAUAAAAAGUAAGUAAGCAUAAGUGCUUUAAGAAUAACUAGUUAUUCCAAAAAAUUAAAAAAAGAAAAUAUUUUUAUGAAUAUUAACCCCCAACGAAACAUAAGUCAAAAAUUUUACAUCUUUAUGUAGGGGUAGUAUAUCUAAUAUAUCCUACAAAACUUUAAAAUACCUUAUUUAUUCUUAAAAGACCAAAAUAUCCUCCAUGAUUUUANUUUUUUUGAGAAAGAGAUAGGUAACACGCUACCUGCUUCGCUUAUUUCAUUUAAAAAUAAACUUAGCUGGAAAUAUGAAUCAACUAGAAUUCGAACUUGAGAGUUUGCGUACCAACCACAAAACCUUUUGCCACUUGCUCUAAGGAUGGUCGAUUUUUUUUUUUUUUUUUAGUUUGGAAAAAUAUUUUGAUAAUUUCAGAAUAAAUUUAAAAAUUUUGAAUAGUAGUGAGGGAUAAAUAAGCAAAAGCUAGCUCUCCUACCUGCCAGUAGGGGAGCGGCGCGAUGGCUCGGCGGACGACGAGCCACUGGGCGCCGUAACCGAUGAGGCCUUCGAGGGAUCCGAUGAGGAGUAUGGCGGGCAUGGGCAGGCGGUCGGAGGCGAGCCCCGCGAGCAGGCCGAACGCCUUGCCGACGUCCUUCGCCACCGACAGGUUGUUCAGCUGCAGCUGCGUCAGCCCCAUCAGCGACUUGAGCGCGUCCGAGUAGUUCGAGAACGUGUAGUUGUUCCCCGACACGCACUGCACCCACACCGCCGUCACGAACCCCAGCCACUUCCACCACGUCCCCCGCGACAACGACGACGUCACCGUCGCGGACGCGGUCGCCGCAUUCUUCGCCAUUUUCGACGUUGAUAACUUUGCUUAGAAGACGAAGAGGAAAGAGUUGUGGGGUGGGAACGAAAAGUGAGAGAGAUAGGAGAGAGGUAUUUAUAGACACUCUCACGAAACAAAUAUCUUUGAUGAUCACCAAGGGAAUCUAUCUAUAUUCUAAUAAUUAUACUGCAUCGUUAAUAACCAGACAAUUAUAUAUUUUUUUUUUAAUAAAUAAAAAUAAAAAUAUUUUUUAAUAGUCAUAGCGUGAUGGGUGUUGAACUCAAUAAAAUAAUCUUAUUAGUUGGAAACGCUACAUCAAUAAUAUAACUGUUGCAUUCUAAACUUUUUUCAUUGUAUAUGAAUAAAAUUAUACAAAACUUAUCUGAAUUUCGGACUAUUUUAAAUCGGCCUGGUAAAUUUUUUAAAUUUUAAUUUAGCUACUCAAAUUUUUAAUUCAUUUAAUUUUAACGAGUCAACGGCUUUCUAAUUUUUAAAGUUAAGCUAAUUAUGUACCUUACGAAUUAAGUAUACUAAUGAAAUUUGUAAAGAGAAAUACAAUAUUUAAAUUUUGAAGUCAAUAAAAAAAAAUUGAAGGAUUUGAUAGUAAAAUAAAAAUUAUAAAACGUUGGGCAACCAAAUUAAAGUAAUCCAUGAAUGAUUUGACUCCAAAUCCAUUAUUUGCGCCCCUAAAACUAUAUACUUGAUUAAAAAAUAGGUAAGAAUUGUGAGAAAGUCCCCUAAAUAAUAGAUUAUUUUUGAAUAUUUCUCUAAAUUUAUUACUUAUUCAUAAAUAUUUGUUUUAGUCAAAUUAUUCAACAAAAUUACUGCUUUUCAGCAAAAAAAAAAAAAAAUGUAAAACUCAUAAUAUAGUUAAUGAUCAAUAAUAAAUUUAAAAUCAAUUAUAUGCCCAACUAAGUAAUGUAAUUUAAAUUUAAGAAAAAUAAAAAUAUUUUAAAAAUAUUAAUAAAAAUAUCUCUAUUUUUUUACCUAAAUUUAGAUAAUUUUUGUAGAAUUCUGAAACAGUUAAAAAGACAUGAAUUAAGGAAGAAAGGAACAAAAAUUUGCGUGAAUACAGGAUCGGAAAAAGACCUUUUUUUUCUUUUCUUUUUCUUUUUUUUCCGCUACUGUAAAAAUCGUGCUCAGAGAGAAAAGGAUAGAGAGGGAUUAAAUAAAAAAUAUUACAAAAAGUAAGGAACCAAAAAAGAAAAAAAUGAGGAAAAAAGGGGGGUUAUGGUGGGGACAAAAUAAUGGUGGAAAAGCGUGUGAGAUUUGCUUCGGCCGUUGCUUCUCAGCUUCCCACCGCAGCGGUUUACUUAAGCCACUGAAACUUUGCCUACAUAGCCGGCGCAGAAAUUCGUGCUUGUUCAUGGUCCCAUUUUCCUAAAAAUGGGACACAUUGAAUGUACGUACAUUGACCAAAAGCGUGAUUUUUUCUGAUAUUAAUUUUUAAAAUCAUUAUUUAUACUGGUACCGAUAUUAAUUAUGUGAAAGAUACAUUGAAGGAGAAGGAUACCUAAACUAAUAUUUUAUCUAUUUUAUUAACAAAAUGUAUCUAAUUACAUCUUCGUUGACACCCUUAGCCAUAUACCGUCAUGUCUAUUGUGGCUAAUUCAUCUAAUUAAUUGACGUCUAGCUAUAUAUAUAGCUACGAAGUGAUAACUGAUGAUAACUUCAAUUUUUAUUUUAGCUAAUUAUAAAUUUUACUCUAAUUACAUAAAUUCUUAAACAUAAUCGAAUCUAUAAUUUGGAUAAGUUCUAUCUUCGGCUAAAUUUUUUAAUAUUGAAUUAAGAUGAAAAUGCAAUGUAACUAUGUCUUAAACUUGAGAUCUAAGAUAUCAAUCAUCAAAGACGAUUGAUGAUGAUAAAUAAUUUAAGAGUCCAUUAAGUUGCUAAUAACUCAGAAUGGUUAUAGAAUGAAUGGUUAAAUUUCUGCACCAGUGUGGUCAUCUCAAUCUACCCUUUGAACUUGUCUCUUUUGGAAAAAAAAACACACAUUUUAAACUAAGAAAAGCUUCCCAUGGUGGUGUUUGGGAAUUUCAUCGUUUAGUUAGGCUUCGUUUGGUUCGGAUAUAAGUAAGAACUAGCUGAUAUAAGAUUAGAACUGCUCGAACAAUAGUUCUUCUUUUUCUAGAACAAGUUGAUAAAAGAUUAGAACUGCUAUUCCAUUUCUUUCUAGAACAAGCUUAUUCGGGAAGAAGGUUAAUUAAAAGCUAAAUUUAAUUUUAAAUAUGAUAUUAAAAAUUAUUAAUUAAUCAAAUUAAUGUCUAUAAAUCAUUAUCUACUGCUUAAAUAAUAAAGGAGUUAAUUAAUUUAUUAUUUAUAAUUAAUUAGCUCAUUAAAAAUUAGUAAUUUAAUAUAUUUAUUCAUAAACUAAUAUUUAUAUUUAUCAACACUACUCUGGUUAAUUUUUUUACUAAUAAUCUAACUAAAAUAAUUUACUAACUACUUAAAAAUUAAAUUAUUUUUUAUAAUCAAUUAAUUAAUUAAUAUAUUUUCAUGAUCUUAUACAAUAUUCAUAGCUAAUAAAUUGAUUAAUUUAUUAAAUUAUUUUUAAUUUAAGAUUAUAACUUUUAUUCCUUCUAUUCCAAUUUAACCAUUCAAAUACUAUUUUAUCUUAUUCUCGGAAACAAUUCAAUUUUCAUCCAAAUAGAAAAUUGGUCUAAUUUCUACUUAUGGCUGAGCUGUACUUAUCUCUGAAAUAAGCAGUUUUUAUUUAUACCCGAACAAAACGCAGUCGUAAGAUACAAUUACAUUUCUUUUCUAUUAGAAUAACACUAUCCAUACGCUCUGUAGUUAGGUAUAAAAUUUACACCCCAAUUUCUUUGUAGCCUUUAUUUUCUCACUUAUUUUAUCAACUUUUUUAAACUCAAAAUAAAAAAAAAAUGUAAAUCUUUGAAUUUAAGGGUGUAGGACUUAUUCCCUAUAAAAAGUGUAUAAGUAAUAAUUUUCUUUCAGUUAUGGUUACUUCAAGUGAUAAUACCAACAUUCCAUAAAGUUCCCAACAUUACACACAAGUGCAAAACAUAUAAUACAAAUUUUUAAAAAAAACUGUAUCAAUUGCCAUAUAACCUAAGUUUAGACCUACUGCCACCUUACAUGGCCCAAAAACAUUGAUUUAAAGUUUAAAUGUGUUUUGGGCACCUGCUGUUUUUCAAUUGUGAACUUUUUAUUAUCAUUAUCAUAAAAAUGUUAAUGGCUAAAAAAAAAUUAAAAAUUAAUUCAGCAAUAAAUUUUUUUACAUUAUAUUUUUACUAGCAUGGCUAUAACUGUUGUGGUGGAUAGGAAUACAAAUAGCCUGACUUUAUCAGUUAUAACUGAUCGGCACAUAUUUAAAAGUUUAGUAAAUUAAUUCAGUCCCGAUCAGUUCCAAAUAGGGUUACAAGUAAGAACUAAAUAAUAAGAAAAAAAAAAAUCAUUCCGAAUUUAUUCCGAUCUGUUAAGAAAAAUGAGUGGGCAGUAAAAGACCUCUAUCUUUUCUUUAUUUGUCCUCGUCCACAAAAAAUUUAUCAAACGUUUCUUCCAUCACAACCCACCCUGAAGGACAAAAGACAUGAUAAGAAUCGACUCAUUCUGAAUCAACCCCGACCUGCAGAAGACACUAUUGGCUAUUUACACUACAACAGAAUUAGGUUAUAGGGACACAUGUUUGGGAUAUUUUUAUGUAAGUAUCUCAUUUAUGUCAAAACUUAAAAAAAAAAUCUAAUAAGGCCUAAAUAUAGAGCACAAUCCAAUCAAAAAUAAAAGGUUACUCUACUCAACCCACCCCAUCCAGUCCAUUCAGUCCGAUUACAAAUAAAAAAGGAAAAAAAAAAUCGAUCACCAUCUUCCCUUCUCCCCUCAUUCAAUCCACCGAAACUUUAGAGGAAGAGCCCUUCGCUCUCCUCCUCUUCCGCCAGUGCAGCCAACAAGGUAAAGUUCCGGUGAUUGCUAAAAGUUUAAAUAAGUGUUGGUAAAUUAGCAGUACUUUUUUUAGCUUAUACCGACACUCUUAAACUGUCACUAUAUGCCUAGUGAUCCCACAUAUAGCAACAAUUUUAAAAGUGUCGAUAAUUUAGCAAGCAGCAUUUUUUUUGACCUAUACCGACAUUUAAAAGUGUCGCUAUACACUGUUUUUUUUUGUAGAGUUAUCAUUUGGCUAAAAUAUGUCCAAUAUUUUGCUCCAUAAUAAUAGAUCCAAGAGACUAAUAAGUUGAACUGAUGAGUGUAAUAAAUUGAGUGGGAUUACGAUCCAACAGUGGACCUAAUAUCCAGAUAUGUUUAAUCAGGUCGAAACUUGUGAAGUGUUAUAACUAAGCCUUUAAAUACAAUAUAAAUACACUUAUUUUAUCAGCACGUAUUUUUUGAAUAAUUAUUCAGCAGUAAUAAUCCACAGGUAAGAAGGAAUCCAUUGGCCAUCAGAGCUGCCCUACUUUUCUUCCUUGUGUAAGCAAUAAUUUUCCCCCAUUAAAAGGCAAAAAUUGACAUGCCGUGGAAGAAUCACCUUUGGUGCCCACUUGCAAGUUGCAAGUGCUCGACCUUGUCACCCUGCUUUAUUUAUUUUUUCUUUUUUAAAGUCUUGCUUCUUUUGAAUUUUGAUUGGGUGUGGAAUUUCGAAAAUGAUGCACUCAAAUUAUGACACAGUAAAUAAAUUAGAGAUAAUUGCCCACGAUUAUCUCUAAAGUUAUUAAAUAACAAGUAUAUUCCGACCACACUUAAGUUAUCAUAUUUAUUUCUCUAAAAAUCGUUCCGUCUGUAAAUAUAUCAUUCUGUCAGCAAAAUUUAGAUAACUAUAAAUUAAAAAAUAUAACCACGGUUAGUUAAGAAGUAAAAUAAACUUUUUAUCCCUUACAUUUAUAAUUUGUAUUUCAAUAUUGAGUCAAGUUAUCUUUCUCAUCCUCUCCUCUUUAUACAUGGUGACGGCGAGAUAAACAUGAGAUACGUCGCAUGUACUGCAAAAAAUGCGAGGAGAGAGAGAGAAAAAAAACUUUUUGCAAGAAUAAACUUAUAAGAGUAAAAUAGUUAUUUUAUGCAUCCAUCGUUAAAAAAUUAACGGUGAAUCAAACGACAUGAACAUAAAUGAAUGAAUCAGAAUUUUUGAAAAAAUAUAGUUGCAAAAAAAAAAAAAAUUAAAAGAUAAAUAUGAUAAUAUAAAUUUUAUAAGAAUAUAUUUACUAUUUCAUAUGUUUGCAUCAGCAUGUAGGAAAUUAACCCAAUAAAUUAAGUGGCUAAUCCAAACAUUGACAAAAUCACAUAUGCAAUUAAUUUAAUAGUUAACAUCCAUGUCUCAAUCAAAGUGAAUUAUAACCUUGUUUUUAUUGCAGAGUGAAUAUAUAAAUCAAUAGUCACAUCCAUGUCUAAAUCAAAGUUAAUUAUAACUUUGUUUUUUCUGCAGCGCAAAAACAUAUAAAUUUAAUGAUUUGUGCUAGUUUAAAUGAGUCAGUAUUUUGUUCUUUGACGAAAGGUCAAGUGGGCUAAGUUAUUUCGAAAUAGCAUUAGACUGGGUUGGGUCGAAUCAUAUUCAAAGUGACAUGAGGCUAGUUGGACCGAGUCACAAUCGAGAUCUGUGGAUGCUGUAUUUAUACGCUUUAAGUGAAUUGGAUGUGUAUUUCUAACAGCUCAAGUUUUUGGAAUUAAUGGUUAGCGCUAACGACCUGACAGCUUGUUUUAUAGCUUCAUGUUGAUUUUAUUUUAUUUUAUUGGAAUCAUGUUAAGAGAUUUUAACUCUAAUAAGGCUUCAUGCAACCUGUUAUAUAGAUGAAUAGAACUCGUGUGUUAUAUAAUAAUACACUUGGAAUUUUGGCUAUGCAAUGUACAAGUUAAAUUAAUUCGAAUAACAAUAAUAAAAAAUUGACCUUUUAAAAUUAUUUGAGCAAUUUAAAAAAGAUUCCUGCAGAAUAUAUCUAGUUGGUAGAAAAUAAUCUAAAUUUUAAAUUUAGAAUAAAUCUGGAUCACAAACUUUUAAUAAUGGAAUAUAAUUUAAAUUUUAAGUUUAGAAUAUUUAUGAAUUAACCAUCACGAGACACUACUUUAGUAUAAUACGAUUAUGUGACCUAUUUUAGCAAUUUUUGAGGUAUUUAAUAACCUGUUUAAACACAACCUAGGGGUAAAUUGGGAUGUUUCGAAUUUAAGUUUUUUUUUUUUUUGAAACAAAAUUAUUUAAGGAAUCAUAGAAAUUUAACAACAAACCAAAUAACUGAACUAGUUGUUUAAAAUUGGCAACUAAUAUACUGAGUUGAAUUAAAAAAUAAUUGAAUUAAAAGGCUCAUGUUUAACGCAAAAGCUUAAACUAAUAGAUGAAAAACUUCUUAUGUUCUAUAAAUAAUGCCAAAAUUUUAGUUUAUAUUUAAUACAGGGUGAUUUUUUUUAACACUAGCAAGGUAAAAGGGAAAAAAUAAAAAUAAAAACAAAUAUUUUUUGUUAGCACGAAAGAUUUUUUUUGAGAGAUAGGUAGCACGCUACCCGCUUCGUUUAUUUUAUUUAGAAAUAAACUUAGCUGGAAAUGUAAAUCAAUUAGAAUUCGAACUUGGGUCUCGGGUACCAACCACCAAAUCCUUUGCCAUUUGCUCCAUGGACGGUCGAUUGUUAGCAUGAAAGAUGAAUCAAUAUUUGUUCGAUUUGAGAGGUUGGGGGCAAUAAUUAAGUUAAUUUCAUGAGUGUUCCUACAAAAAUAUCGAAUAUCAGAUAUAUUAUUAUAAAGUUUAAGUUAUCACAUUUGUUCUUUUAAAAAUUCUAGCACAUUCAUAUUUGUCUCCAUGAUUUGCUGCUAUUAGUUUACUGUUUGUAUUCAUAAUUCGUAAGUGAAAUGAUAAUUUUAUUAUUAUAAAUUUAUCUCUUCAAACAUUUCAAUAGUUAUAAGUGUGGUCCUUUUCUCUAUUAAAAUCAACUCAACUCUUGAUGGGAGGGCUCCGCGGGACGAUAGAAAGCUUUGUCUACGAGCAGCAUAUAUCCUUUUUGUCGCACCUUUUGAGUUUACAGGUCGCUUAGAGCACAUUAGUUAGUUAAUAAGAUUUUUUAUAAGAGGGAUGAAAAUAUGAUUUUAUUUCUUAAGUAACUAUUGUUAAGUAUUUUAUUCAUGAUUAAUUAAAUAUUUUCUAAUAAAGACUAACGGUAGGAAUAUACUUGCAACAAUAUUAAAUAUUGAAGGAGAAAAUCUAAUAUCUUUGUAAAAACAUAUAUGAAUUAUUACCAUAUAUAUAUAUAUAUAUAUAGAGAGAGAGAGAGAGAGAGAGAGUUGAACUGGGCUACUAUUAAAAACAAAAUUCUAUUGUUGCUACCAGUUUUUUAGUCUUUGGAUCAACUCUUUUCAUUAUUUCUAACCAUUGGAUUAAAUACUAUAACCCAGUGGGGACCACUCAACUCUAACCGACUAAUAUCAUUCUGAUCCUACAAUUUUUCAUCUAAGGGUUAAAAACUUGAUAGCAAAAAAAGCGUUUUACUAUUAAUAGUAUUCCAGACUAAUUUUAUAUAUAUAUAUAUAUAUAUAUAUAGAGAGAGAGAGAGAGAGAGAGAGAAAGAGGAGAGGCUAGGCCUGGUAUACUAUCGGUAGCACAGAGGCUCCGUGCUAAAGUGUUUUCAAUGAUGCGGCUUUCAAAUCGACAAUGCGCUUUAUUAGACUUGAUCUACACUAUAAAAGGUAUUUGGAAACUAAAAUUUCAUAAUUUUCGACAUCAUUCUGCUAGUGAUCAAAAGGUUUGCAAAAUAACAAUUUUAAUUGGUAGAUAUGAUGCGUUUUUUAAGUUCAGCGGUGUAGAAGUAUUCAAAUUAGAUGAAAUUAUAAUAGAAAUUCUACUUAAACAUCAAUAGCAAGACAUACUUCCGAUCUGAAAUUUGAAUUCUUUAUCAUUGUUUUUUAUGAGAUUUUCAUUUUCAGCCGUUCAUUUUAAACUACUCGUUUGAAUUGGUAAAUGACGCCGAAAAAUCAUGAAAUUUAGUUUUCAAAUAUUUUCAAUAAUGUAGAUCAAAUCUAACGGAGCCGAUCGUCGAUUUAGAAGCCGCAUUAUUGAAAACAACUUGGUAGCACGGAGACCUCUGUGCUACCGAUAGUAUACCAGCCUAGGCUCUACUCUCUCUCUCUUCUCUCUCUCUCUCUCUCUCUCUCUCUCUCGCUAUAUAUAUAUAUAUAUAUAUAUAUAUAAUUAUAUAUAUUAUAUGAGUAGAGCUACUAUACUAUCGGAAUCAUAAAGUGGUUGCUGCUUCUGAUUUUUUAGCCCUUAGAUCAACCCCAUUGAUCAUUUUUAACCAUUGGAUUAAUAUUAUUAACCAAUGAGGACCACUCAACCCUAAGUGAACCGCUAUCAUCCCAACCGUAAAAUCUUUGAUCCAACGGCUAAAAAAUCGGAAGCACCAACUACUUUAUGCUUCCGAUAGCAUAGUAGCUCUACAUUAUAUAUAUAUAUAUAUAUAUAUAUAUAUAUAUAUAUAUAUAUAUAUAUAUAUAUAUAUAGCAAACAGGCUCCGUUGCCAUCCAUUUGUUUUCGAUGAUGGAGCUUUUAAAUCGACGAUCGACACCGUUGAACAUGAUCUAUAUCACUUAAGGUAUUAGAAAUCAAAUUUUAAAUUUUUUCGACAUUAUUGACCUAAUGAUCAAAGAGUUUCAAAAUUUAUAAUUUUAAUGAUCGAUAUGAGGCGUUUUCUCGUUUAACGCUGUAAAACUAUUCAAAUCAAUUGAAUUUUGGUUAGAAAAUUCUUUAAACUAUUUAGAACAAGAUCCAUAUUCUCGAUCUUGAUUAUAAAAUUCCUAUCAUCACCUUUUAGAGGAUAUUCAUUUCAGCCAUUCAUUUUGAUGCCCACUUGAUGAACAAGAGAACAAUAUCGGAAAAAUAUAAAAUUUGAUUUCUAAAUACUUUAAGUGGUAUAGAUAAUUUUCAACGGUACCGAUCAUCGAUUUAGAGGCUCCAUCAUCGAAAACAAAUGGAUGGUAACGGCGUCCGUUUGCUACCGAUAGUAUUCCAGCUCAACUCUUUAUAUAUAUAUGGUAUGUAAUAUAUAUGGUAACAUGAAUAA
This 35995-nucleotide long non-coding RNA is filed under the name Ananas comosus (pineapple). RNAcentral describes it as "long non-coding RNA (ACOM_LNC033757)". The record is from RNAcentral. Lineage: Eukaryota; Viridiplantae; Streptophyta; Magnoliopsida; Poales; Bromeliaceae.